Camellia sinensis is the source of this 1259-nucleotide non-coding RNA. Lineage: Eukaryota; Viridiplantae; Streptophyta; Magnoliopsida; Ericales; Theaceae. The record is from RefSeq and is a predicted model, not a curated record.
UCUUCUUCUUAACUUUGAGGAUGGUUGAGAAUGAAGCUCAGUACAAACCAGAUAAAGAAAUUUCCAAAAAUGCUUGCCGUUGAUUGUGAGAUGGUUCUCUGUGAAGAUGGCACUGAAGCUCUGGUGAGGGUUUGUGCUAUUGGGCGCAAUCUACAGGUCAAACUUAACGAACUUGUAAAUCCGAGUAAAGCAGUUGCAAACUAUAGGAGUGAAAUUACUAAGCUUAGUGCAGAAGAUUUAGAUGGAGUUACUUGUUCAUUGGCUAAUGUACAGGCUGUGUUGGGAUAUGAAGUCAGGAAGGAGGGUGCUCCCCACAAUUGUCUAGAUGAUACAACUGCUGCAAUGAAACUAGUUCUGGCCAAGAUAGAGUCUGGAUUUGACAAUGCUAUACCGCUGGUUCGUGAGGGUGUGCCUGAGAUCAAAAAGUCAAAGCUACUUCUCCACAGGAUACCAGUCAAUGUGCCCGAUGAAGAAUUACAUAAAAUUAUUCCUGGAGACUUUACAAUUGAGAUCAGGCCCAACAAAAAGGCUGGAGGAAAGAAGUAUUCUGCCUUUGCCAAUUUUAAGAAUCAAGAAGAGGCCAAUCAAGCAUUUGAAAAUAUCGAUGGAUACUGAGAAAAGGUAUUUCCCGGAUGAGAAUUUCUCUAUAUCUUGCACAACUUCUACUAUUUGGGAAAGGUGGCCCGUGUAUGUAGCUAUAUGUAUAUCCUUACUUUCCCUUGAAAGCAACAACUGAAGCUAACCCUAAUGUAACAUAGCUUUGCUAGUUUAGCUUUAAAACUUCAUCUCAUCUCUGACACAAAGGACUCGUACGGACUACCACAGAAAUGCAUUUCAUUCCAAUAUGAUUCCGGAUCGAUUGAUAGCUUUUGUGUUCGUAAAAUGACAAGUGAGGAUUUUCUUGGCCAAGUUUCAUCGAGGAAAAGACCAUUCCAAGCUGAGGAGACCACCACAGGCGAGUCCAAGAAGUUGAAGUCAUGUCAGGAAGCUGGAGAGCAGACUAAGGCAGGGUCAAACCUUUGUGAUGGUCACUUGAAGGAGAUUGAAAGACUGAAGCAAGAACUGAGACAGGGAUGAGGAAAUCUGUGACUUGAACAAGAUCAUAGUUGCUCUUACAAGGAAACAAGGACUUUUCUCUACAGUGUUGGAUGCUUAAAAGAGUGCCUUUUAAUUGUUGGCAUUUUUGGUGGUUGGCAGGUGAGUUUGGCAGGAGAGUAACCCAGGGAUGGUGAUUAUGACUCUGCUGCUGAAUUUUUAAU